GAUCAUGGCUCAGGAUGAACGCUAGCGGCAGGCUUAACACAUGCAAGUCGAGGGGUAUAGUAGCAAUACUAGAGACCGGCGCACGGGUGCGUAACGCGUAUGCAAUCUACCUUUCACAGAGGGAUAGCCCAGAGAAAUUUGGAUUAAUACCUCAUAGUAUUAUGAAAUGGCAUCAUUUUAUAAUUAAAGUCACAACGGUGAAAGAUGAGCAUGCGUCCCAUUAGCUAGUUGGUAUGGUAACGGCAUACCAAGGCUACGAUGGGUAGGGGUCCUGAGAGGGAGAUCCCCCACACUGGUCUGAGACACGGACCAGACUCCUACGGGAGGCAGCAGUGAGGAAUAUUGGACAAUGGGCGCAAGCCUGAUCCAGCCAUGCCGCGUGCAGGAUGACGGUCCUAUGGAUUGUAA
This 408-nucleotide ribosomal RNA is filed under the name uncultured bacterium. Its description in RNAcentral is "bacterial SSU rRNA". It matches the Rfam family "Bacterial small subunit ribosomal RNA", at positions 15 to 428 of the family's 1533-position model. The record is from RNAcentral.